This 1164-nucleotide long non-coding RNA is filed under the name Zea mays. Its description in RNAcentral is "drought responsive lncRNA". Lineage: Eukaryota; Viridiplantae; Streptophyta; Magnoliopsida; Poales; Poaceae. The record is from RNAcentral.
GAAUAAACACUAGGUUAGUGUUGUUAAGUGGCGACCACUUGGCGAGCAUCCUUUGGUUUGGCACUCGUUCAAAUUAUCCAUCUUCCUGUUUGUCCAUCAGCAUCAUCCUGUGGAUUAGCCCACGCUUGGGGUCGACUUGGAUCAUCUUCUGCUUCACGCGAUUAUUUAUCAUACCUCAUGAGAUGCACGAUGCACAUGUAUGAGCAUGAAUAUAAUAUAGAUAAUCUACACUAAAAAGGAUGAAACACUAAAAACCAAGCAUUAAUAAUUAUGGAUAUCACAGCAGGGCAUCGACUACAUCUAUUAACCAAAUUGACAUAAUAACACUCGAACAUCUAUUUUUAUUCCCAGCUUUUUAUUAACUCUUUAAACUGUGUAUCUUAAUUACAUGAUUUACCGAUUAACCUGUGCAUCAUAUAUAUAUUAAUAUAACUUCCCAUUUUUAACACGUACAAUCCCGCAAACACUGAGACCUAUGGAGAUCUUUUUCAUCCUACGACAUCGACCAAAUUACUAAAACGACUCAGGCAAUCUAAUAAAUAUUAAACCAAGUCAGACCAUCCACCAACCCACUAACACGAAUAACAAAUUUACUUACCCUGACUAAUUCGACGCGAUAGUCGCAAGCACGAUGCCGGUUUUCAGUUGAUGUCUUCGAUCACACACGUCUGGCGAGCGAUGCACACAAUUUCUACUCUUGACCAGAUACUCAUGGAAUUCCUUUUUGUCGAGCUAGUGACACAUGGCCAACACCAGAGUGUCUUCAUGGCUUGGGGGGCUUGGGGUGGACGAGUAUGACGCUCGACGACUUGUUCGAGCUUUUUGUCACGCACUCGAUGAACACCAUGCUGCUGGCUCCGUCUUCACCUGACGCUUGGGAUUUCUUGCUGACGCAUGAAACGAUGACAAGAUUGUGUUUGGAACGAGCUGGUGAGGUGGGGGUCGAGCAGGGGAUGACGGGUUUGACGACUCGACGCUAAACACGAACACGCCAAAACCCGAUGGAUGAGGAGUGAGCGCAUGCGGGGCGAGCAGCACGGAUUUGAAGCGUAGAGAAAUCGCCCACGGUGAGACGAACAGAACAAGGAGUGCUUGUGAACUCAAUGGUGGAAUCGGCGGUAGCCGAUGCCAGAGCGCACGGCGAGGGAGUUUCGCAGUUCGUCG